Molecule: long non-coding RNA, 130 nt
Organism: Coffea arabica (coffee)
Lineage: Eukaryota; Viridiplantae; Streptophyta; Magnoliopsida; Gentianales; Rubiaceae
Source: RefSeq, a predicted model, not a curated record
GGAAGCUUGGGCUACUCUUUGUGACUUCUAUUCAAGAUUUGGACUCCAAACCCGGAGUACCACCUCGACGCGAGAAUUAGAAGCACUAUUGUGGAGUACGAGUGAAGCGUGAGAAGUGUAAAGACUAGCG